Long non-coding RNA from Anolis carolinensis (green anole), 1414 nucleotides. RefSeq lists it as uncharacterized. The transcript is spliced from 3 exons. NCBI's taxonomy places the organism in Eukaryota, Metazoa, Chordata, Lepidosauria, Squamata, Anolidae. The record is from RefSeq and is a predicted model, not a curated record.
UGGUUAGAGGAUUGGUGUAAAAUCAAGUCUGAAAAAGGGCAAAAGAACAGUAAAAAGGGUAAUUUUUUAUUAAAGGAAAAUUUACAAACUUGUUAUCAGACAGUAUAUUUUAAAACCUGUUUCCAAAAAAAAAAGUCCAAUCAGAUCCUCAUAAUAGUGUUUAGAAGCCAGGAUUUAUAUGUCAGGCUAAGAAACAGGAGGCCUGUGAUUUGUCAAAAGAUAAAAUGCCUCUAUCAGAUUGGAGGACCUUUGCUCCUUUCUGGCAUUUUAACUCUCCUUGCAUUCUUGAUCUUGCGGGCUGUUGUGCUGGCAGAUGCUAUUCCUCAGCAGAGUGGUGGGUUAACCAGAAAAAAAAACAACUUUUAAGGUGGGUCUUACUCGUACUUUUAAAAUGCACAUUUAUUGCAUGUGUUCUAAUGGGCCAUUGGGUGUAAAAGAUCGCUCACAAAGUUAGGUUACUUUGUCCCGAUGUUACCUGAUGCUGCUUUGCAUCAGUUUCUCCUGCUAGGGACCUACAUGCCAUUGGGAUUUAACUAACCCUUGGAAUUUCUGUAAAGCAUGCAUUGAUGUCUGAUAACAGCCAGACACUGAGCUGUAAUGGAUAACUCCUUCUUCGAUUGGUGGCUGUGUUUGGCCAGGUCACAAUGGGGCAGAAUUGAAACGAAAAGGACUGAGAACAUCCAUCUCAGCGGUUUGUGAUGUUGUCUAACUGGACAGACUGGAAAAUCUCCUAAACAGAGGAGGAAGAGAAGCCAACCUGUUGUCAGCUUACCUGACUUGGUGCACACUGCUACUUUGCUGACUGCGCUACUUUUAACAAACAGAACAUUGAAAAGCAAGAAUAGGACAGAAUCCGUUUCCAGAUGGUCUUCUGAUGUUUUCACAUAUGGAAAGAUAACACUGGCCAACGCACAUUUUGGUGCCUCAAAUCGCAUCUCCCACAUUCUAGGAUUGCAAGAGUAAAGUGUGAUGGACAACAAGCAAGAACACAGUUACAGAUUCCUAAACCGCUUGCCAACAACACCAAACACACACACAGCCCUCCCUUUUCAGGCAGGAACACCUUUUGACGUGUUCCUGAGAAGAACAACAACGGCUUCUAUAACAAACAGUACACUCCCUAAAACAUCCGGACCUCGGUAUCUCUCUUCAAAGACAAGGCAGCAGAGAAUCAGAGAUCCCUUUGGCCUCCAUACUCGGAAUUCAACGGAAGCACAACACUCACCAAAGCUGCCAGAAAUCUGCUACCUUGAACUUCUGGGAAGAUAUCAGAAGCAAAGAGAGCCAUGGUGACCGCAAUUCCAAAGUUCGUAUCAGUGUGAUAGCUUUAUUACAGCAACUAAAAAGUCCCGGACCUUUUGACUGGCCAACACUGUCAUUGUAUCAUAAUAAUAUAUCGAGUUACAAGCAGCUC